RNAcentral lists this ribosomal RNA (484 nucleotides) under uncultured bacterium. Its description in RNAcentral is "partial 16S ribosomal RNA". It matches the Rfam family "Bacterial small subunit ribosomal RNA", at positions 30 to 507 of the family's 1533-position model. The record is from RNAcentral.
AUUGAACGCUGGCGGAAUGCUUUACACAUGCCAGUCGAACGGCAGCACGGGGGCAGCCCUGGUGGCGAGUGGCGAACGGGUGAGUAAUACAUCGGAACGUGCCCGGUCGUGGGGGAUAACGUAGCGAAAGUUACGCUAAUACCGCAUACGAUCUGAGGAUGAAAGCGGGGGACCUUCGGGCCUCGCGCGAUCGGAGCGGCCGAUGUCAGAUUAGGUAGUUGGUGGGGUAAAGGCCUACCAAGCCGACGAUCUGUAGCUGGUCUGAGAGGACGACCAGCCACACUGGAACUGAGACACGGCCCAGACUCCUACGGGAGGCAGCAGUGGGGAAUUUUGGACAAUGGGCGCAAGCCUGAUCCAGCCAUUCCGCGUGCAGGACGAAGGCCUUCGGGUUGUAAACUGCUUUUGUACGGAACGAAAAGGCUCUGGCUAAUACCUGGGGCUCAUGACGGUACCGUAAGAAUAAGCACCGGCUAACUACGUG